GACGAACGCUGGCGGCGUGCCUAACACAUGCAAGUCGAACGAGACCUUCGGGUCUAGUGGCGCACGGGUGCGUAACGCGUGGGAACCUGCCCUUAGGUUCGGAAUAACUCCCCGAAAGGGGUGCUAAUACCGGAUAAUGUCUUCGGACCAAAGAUUUAUCGCCUUUGGAUGGGCCCGCGUUGGAUUAGCUAGUUGGUAGGGUAAAAGCCUACCAAGGCGACGAUCCAUAGCUGGUCUGAGAGGAUGAUCAGCCACACUGGGACUGAGACACGGCCCAGACUCCUACGGGAGGCAGCAGUGGGGAAUAUUGGACAAUGGGCGAAAGCCUGAUCCAGCAAUGCCGCGUGAGUGAUGAAGGCCUUAGGGUUGUAAAGCUCUUUUACCCGGGAUGAUAAUGACAGUACCGGGAGAAUAAGCUCCGGCUAACUCCGUG
This 433-nucleotide ribosomal RNA is filed under the name uncultured bacterium. Its description in RNAcentral is "partial 16S ribosomal RNA". It matches the Rfam family "Bacterial small subunit ribosomal RNA", at positions 28 to 507 of the family's 1533-position model. The record is from RNAcentral.